Molecule: long non-coding RNA, 1593 nt
Organism: Cyanistes caeruleus (blue tit)
Lineage: Eukaryota; Metazoa; Chordata; Aves; Passeriformes; Paridae
Source: RefSeq, a predicted model, not a curated record
UGUGAAACCACUGUGGUUACAGCACCAGUGUACUCCUCUCUAUGACACCUCAGAAGUGGCAGCCAAAACAUUUCCCUCUCCAUGACAUCACAGCAGUGUGAGCCCCAAUGUUCCCCUCUCUGUGACUCCACUGCUGUGGCAGCCCUAGUGUACCCAUCUGUGACACCACAGCUUUGAAAGUGCAAGUGUUCCACUCUCUAUGAAACCCCAGCAAUGAGAGCCCAACAUUCCCUUCUCGGUGACACCACCACCUGUAGCAGCCCCAGUAUCUCACUCACUGUGAUGCCAAAUCUGUGGAAAUCCAGCAUUCCCCUACCUAUGACACCAAAUGGGUGGCAACCCCUAUGUCCCCUCUCUGUAACACAACAGCAAUGACAGCCUCAACAUUCCCCAGUCUGUGGCACAGCAGAGGUGGCAGCCACAACAUUCCCCUCUCUGAGACACCAGUUCUCCCUCUGUGUUACACCACAGCGGGGGUAGUCCCAGCCUUCCUCUCUCUGUGACACCAAAGUUGUGGCAGCCCAAACACUCCCCUCCCUAUGACACGACAGGGGUAGCAGCUUCAAUGUCCCUCUCUCUAUGACACCACAGUAGUGGCAGCCCCAGAGGUCCCCCUCUUUGUGACACCCCAGCGGUUGCAGCUACAACAUACCCAUAUCUGAGACACAGCAGCAGUCGCAGCCACAACCUUUCCCUUUCUGUUACACCACAGCAGUUGCAGCCACAACUUUCCCCUCUCUGUGACACCACAGUGGUGGCAGUCCUAAGUCCCCCUGUCUGUGACACCACAACACUGGCAUCUCAAAUGUCCCCUGUCUGUGACACCGUGGCCCAACGCUUCCCAUCUCUGUUACACCACAAUAAUGGUAGCCCCAACACUUCCUGCUCUAUGACACCACAGCAGUCGUAGCCCAAAUGUUCCCUUCUCUGUGACACCAUAGUGGUGGCAACCACAGCAUUUGCCUCUCUGUGACACCACAGUGGUGGUAGUCCCAACAUUCCCUUCUUGGUGACACCAGAUCUGUGGAAAUCCAGCAUUCCCCUGUCUGACACCAAAUGGGUGGCAACCCCUAUGUUCCCCUCUCUGUGACACAACAGCAGUGACAGCCCCAACGUUCCCCAGUCUGUGACACAGCAGAGGUGGCAGUCACAACGUUCCUGUCUAUGAAACCACACAGGUGGCAUCCUCAACAUUCCUGUCUCUAUGACAUCACAGCAGUGCCAGAUCAAAGGCAGGACAAAGGGUGAAAAAUGCCAAGAUGGCUCAGAGCUGCUUCUGACUCUACAUCACCCAUGUGCUUCUCUGCCAUCCCAUCCCCCUUUUCCUGAAGGCAAGCAAGGGAUGAGAACGUCCAAAGUGAUGCAGGCAGCGGUUCAUCAGGACCAUCUGGAGUGGCAAUGCUCACAGCAUCAGUGCCAGAGCUGAGGCUGAACACUAAGAACUCUGCAUCUCAUAAGAGGAGAUCAAAGAACUACUCCCAUCCUAAGAAGAAAAUAAAGAACUGGAAGAGACUGACCUAAAAAACCUUUAUGUUUUUAUGAACUACUACUGCUGCUUAAUUUGCCUGGCUGCUGAGUUUUAGGUGUUUGUUU